GCAGGCGGCUGGAUGAUCGCUGCCGGGCCUCGCGCAAGCGGGUUCCGGGGGAGGAAAGUCCGAACUCCGCAGGGCAGUGUGCCGGAUAACGUCCGGGACGGAUGGUUCAAGCCAUUCGGACGGCCAGUGCAACAGAGAAUAUACCGCCUUCGCAAGCGCAAGCGAGCGGGGGUAAGGGUGAAAAGGUGCGGUAAGAGCGCACCGCGCAACCAGUAAUGGUGGCGGCAUGGUAAACCCCACACGGAGCAAGACCAAAUAGGCAGGGAUAUCGCCGCUUCUCUUCAGGCGGCGAUGGCGUAUCGGCCCGGUGCGCCAAGGCGGAGAGACCUCGCAAGAGGAGCCGAAACCCGCGGGUAGGUUGCUAAAGCGCCGUAGUAAUACGUCGCGUAGAGGAAUGAUCGUCUAGAACAGAAUUCGGCUUACGGGCCGUCUGCUAAC
This 438-nucleotide RNase P RNA is filed under the name Edaphobacter sp. RNAcentral describes it as "RNase P RNA component class A". It matches the Rfam family "Bacterial RNase P class A". Rfam says of the family: Ribonuclease P (RNase P) is a ubiquitous endoribonuclease, found in archaea, bacteria and eukarya as well as chloroplasts and mitochondria. Its best characterised activity is the generation of mature 5'-ends of tRNAs by cleaving the 5'-leader elements of precursor-tRNAs. The record is from RNAcentral. Lineage: Bacteria; Pseudomonadati; Acidobacteriota; Terriglobia; Terriglobales; Acidobacteriaceae.